GGAUGCGAUUAUACCAGCACUAACACACCAGGAUCUCAUCAGAACUUCGAAGCUAAGUGUGCUUGGGUGAGAGUACUACUAGGAUGGGUGACCCCUGGGAAGUCCUUGUGUUGUAUCCC
RNAcentral lists this ribosomal RNA (119 nucleotides) under Solanum tuberosum (potato). Lineage: Eukaryota; Viridiplantae; Streptophyta; Magnoliopsida; Solanales; Solanaceae. The record is from RNAcentral.